GCCGCGAGGCAGAGCGAACCCCAAAAAGCCGUCCCAGUUCGGAUCGCAGGCUGCAACCCGCCUGCGUGAAGUCGGAAUCGCUAGUAAUCGCGGAUCAGCAUGCCGCGGUGAAUACGUUCCCGGGCCUUGUACACACCGCCCGUCACACCAUGAGAGUCGGGAACACCCGAAGUCCGUAGCCUAACCGCAAGGAGGGCGCGGCCGAAGGUGGGUUCGAUAAUUGGGGUGAAGUCGUAACAAGGUACC
This 246-nucleotide ribosomal RNA is filed under the name uncultured bacterium. RNAcentral describes it as "partial 16S ribosomal RNA". It matches the Rfam family "Bacterial small subunit ribosomal RNA", at positions 1254 to 1500 of the family's 1533-position model. The record is from RNAcentral.